Molecule: ribosomal RNA, 183 nt
Filed under: uncultured bacterium
Lineage: Bacteria
Description: partial 16S ribosomal RNA
Rfam family: Bacterial small subunit ribosomal RNA
Source: RNAcentral
ACUCCUACGGGAGGCAGCAGUGGGGAAUAUUGCGCAAUGGGCGGAAGCCUGACGCAGCGACGCCGCGUGAGGGAUGACGGCCUUCGGGUUGUAAACCUCUUUUAGUAGGGAAGAAGGGCUUCGGCUUGACGGUACCUGCAGAAAAAGCACCGGCUAACUACGUGCCAGCAGCCGCGGUAAUAC